AACGAACGCUGGCGGCGUGCCUAACACAUGCAAGUCGAGCGCGAAUGGAGCAAUCCUAGUAGAGCGGCGCACGGGUGCGUAACACGUGGGUAAUCUGCCUCAAAGAUCGGAACAACCUGCCGAAAGGCUGGCUAAUGCCGGAUAAGCCUACGGACUCUUUGGAGUCUGAAGGAAAAGGUGGCCUCUGUAUACAAGCUAUCACUUUGAGAUGAGCCCGCGGCCCAUCAGCUAGUUGGCGGGGUAACGGCCCACCAAGGCAACGACGGGUAGCUGGUCUGAGAGGACGAUCAGCCACACUGGAACUGAGACACGGUCCAGACUCCUACGGGAGGCAGCAGUGGGGAAUUUUGCACAAUGGGCGAAAGCCUGAUGCAGCAACGCCGCGUGUGUGAUGAAGGUCUUCGGAUUGU
This 410-nucleotide ribosomal RNA is filed under the name uncultured bacterium. RNAcentral's name for it is "bacterial SSU rRNA". It matches the Rfam family "Bacterial small subunit ribosomal RNA", at positions 29 to 426 of the family's 1533-position model. The record is from RNAcentral.